Molecule: ribosomal RNA, 161 nt
Filed under: Scaligeria moreana
Lineage: Eukaryota; Viridiplantae; Streptophyta; Magnoliopsida; Apiales; Apiaceae
Also listed under: 3 other names
Description: 5.8S ribosomal RNA
Rfam family: 5.8S ribosomal RNA
About the family: 5.8S ribosomal RNA (5.8S rRNA) is a component of the large subunit of the eukaryotic ribosome. It is transcribed by RNA polymerase I as part of the 45S precursor that also contains 18S and 28S rRNA.
Source: RNAcentral
ACGACUCUCGACAACGGAUAUCCCGGCUCUCGCAUCGAUGAAGAACGUAGCGAAAUGCGAUACUUGGUGUGAAUUGCAGAAUCCCGUGAACCAUCGAGUCUUUGAACGCAAGUUGCGCCCGAAGCCACUAGGCUGAGGGCACGUCUGCCUGGGUGUCACGC